RNAcentral lists this long non-coding RNA (1737 nucleotides) under Marmota monax (woodchuck). Lineage: Eukaryota; Metazoa; Chordata; Mammalia; Rodentia; Sciuridae. The record is from RNAcentral.
CUCAACCACUGAGCCACAUCCCCAGCCCUAUUUUAUAUUUUAUUUAGGGACAGAUUCUCACUGAUUUACUUAGUGCCUCCCUUUUGCUGAGGCUGACUUUGAACUCGCGAUCUUCCUGCCUCACCCUCCCAAACUGUUGGGCUUAUAGGCGUGUGCCACCAUGCCGAGCCUUACUGAGUUCUUAUUCAAAACAAAUGAGUAGUCAAGCAGGGUGGUGAUCUGGUGAUCUCCUGUGAUCUCAGCACCUUGGGGAGUUGAGGCAGGAGAAUUACAAGUUCAAUGCCAACCUCUUUGUGAGACCCUGUCUCAAAAUUAAAAAAAUAAAAAAGGCUAGAAAUGUACCUCAAUGAUAAAGCACCCCUGGGUUCAAUCCCCAACACCAAAAAAUAAACAAACAGAUAAAUAAAAGUCAAAGCAAACAAGAGGGCUUGGGAUGUAUUUCAGUGAUAGAGCACUUACCUAGCAUGCUUUGGGCCCUGGGUUUUGUUGCCUGCACCAGGAAAACAACAAAUCAAGGCCGAGUUUGGUGGUACACCUUUAGUCCCAAGUACAGAGGAGCAGAAUAAUCAUUUGAGCCCAGGAAUUAAAUACCAGCAGGGAUAACGUCUUGGGAUACUCCCUAUCACACAAAUCAAAGCAAACACUCAUGAAAACAUAAACGAACCCUGGGCUUAGCAAUGCCUUGGAAAACUGUCAAGUGUGAUUGAGGGUGAGGAUGUGUCACUCUGGAAUAGUUAUUGUGGUUAGAGUGCUGGCUGCCUCUUUGGCCUGCCAGAUCCUGACUUUGUUUUCUGUAUUUGCAGCACAACAAGGAGCUAACCAAAGAGAGAGAUGCCCUCAGGCUGGAGUUGUACAAGAACAAGUAGGAAGGGGAAGGAGAAUGGGCAGUCCAGGACUUUAGUGAGAUUGUGGGGGAGGGGGUGGGAGGUGAACAUGGGGAGGAGGUUUUAUAGGCUUGGAUGUGUCCAAAGCCAAACUGUAGUCCCAGCCUCUGCUUCAUUCCUGGGGCAGCCUCAGGCAACUCGUAUCUUCUCUGUGGUCUGUCACCUGUGACUCCUGAUUCCUGGAGUCCCUUCUAAUGCCAUGGUUCUGUGGUUGUGUGGCAAGGGCAAUGGGUUGGUCACCGAAAUUUCUCUUCCUGUUCUUGGUGCAUUCCUUACUGUGCUACCUCUGAUUACAGCAUAAAUAACGAGGACCUGAAGCAGCAGAACUCAGAAUUGGAAGAGAAGCUCCGUGUGGUGCUGGCAGAGAAAGCAGCUAUGCAGCUGGGGGCGGAGGAGCUCCAAAAGAAGCUGGAGAUGUCUGAGCUGCUGCUGCAACAAGUGAGGCAGCAGCCCCAGCAGCCCGAGCACUGGCUCCGUGCGGUUGUCAGGGUGGCCUCCAGCCAAGAGCUGGAAAAUUUGGGUUCUUAUCUGGUCCUGCCAUAGAAUCUUCCAGAGAUGGUUAAAAUCCACAAAUGGGAGCCCUGCCCAGACCUGUGGAAUCAGAAUCUCAAUGAUAUGGCUUUUUAAAUUUUUGUUUUUAAAUCAUCUUGGUUGAACACCAUCAUGUUGUAGAUUUCCUCUAUGUGGUUACCCAGUAGUCUGUUCCCUCUCCUGGGGGUUCAGCCAGCACUUUUAUUAUGUGGUAAUGACCCUGAGUCGUACACUGAUCUAGUUCACACCCUGUGGAGGCAUCAUGUGGAACACCUGGGCUCCCCAGAUCUAAACUUCUCACUUUCCCCACUUCAGUUCUCUA